RNAcentral lists this ribosomal RNA (468 nucleotides) under uncultured bacterium. Its description in RNAcentral is "partial 16S ribosomal RNA". It matches the Rfam family "Bacterial small subunit ribosomal RNA", at positions 28 to 507 of the family's 1533-position model. The record is from RNAcentral.
GACGAACGCUGGCGGCGUGCUUAACACAUGCAAGUCGAACGGAAAGGCCCUGCUUUUGUGGGGUGCUCGAGUGGCGAACGGGUGAGUAACACGUGAGUAACCUGCCCUUGACUUUGGGAUAACUUCAGGAAACUGGGGCUAAUACCGGAUAGGAGCUCCUGCUGCAUGGUGGGGGUUGGAAAGUUUCGGCGGUUGGGGAUGGACUCGCGGCUUAUCAGCUUGUUGGUGGGGUAGUGGCUUACCAAGCCUUUGACGGGUAGCCGGCCUGAGAGGGUGACCGGCCACAUGGGGACUGAGAGACGGCCCAGACUCCUACGGGAGGCAGCAGGGGAGAAUAUUGCACAAUGGGCGGAAGCCUGAUGUAGCAACGCCGCGUGCGGGAUGACGGCUUUCGGGGUGUAAACCGCUUUCGCCUGUGACGAAGCGUGAGUGACGGUAAUGGGUAAAGAAGCACCGGCUAACUACGUG